Mus musculus (house mouse) is the source of this 3133-nucleotide long non-coding RNA. RefSeq annotates it as predicted gene, 32796. The record is from RefSeq and is a predicted model, not a curated record. The transcript has 6 exons. NCBI's taxonomy places the organism in Eukaryota, Metazoa, Chordata, Mammalia, Rodentia, Muridae.
GUAACUUGUCUGUGCUCACACAGGUGGAAAGAGGCUGAGUCAGCCCUUGGCCUGACUGCAGAGCCUAUGUGCUUAAUGCUGCUAAAGCUGUGGGGCCCUGACACAACUGGUCACUCCUAGGAGGGCCAGAGGACUCCUACAUUGACUGCCUUACUUAUUGCACAGGCAACCUUCCACCUCCACAGCUGGGACCUGUCUCCUUUGUGCUAGCAGUGACCUCUCUGUCACCUCUUUCUUUUAGCCCUGUAGGUUGUUGGGCCUCUCCCCCCUGAUGAAUGCCCUGGUCCCAGCUGUUCUUUCCCAUACUGGCUGUGAAACUGUCUGAGCUCCCACACUGAAAGGAAAGAGUCUCCAAGAUGGUAGGUAAUCGCAGCGUGAGGAGUUCAAGGAGGAAAAGUUCGUGUCACCUGUGACAGAGUCAAAGAAGCGGGAGGUGACUGCUUGGACAGCUAAGGCAGGCUCCAUGAGCAUCAGCGGGGGACAGGAGCCAGGAAGUCCACAAUGAUGUUCCAGAUGAGGAAAGUCUAAGUGCCUACUCUGUGUCAUGCCUUGGGCUAAGUUUUUUUUAAUAUGAAACCACUGAGUCUACACAGGAAAGGACAGACAGAAAAAAAGAAAAAGAAAAAUUACACGACUUACCCACGAGAGUGUUUCUAUUUCCACACAGAAAGGAGAUUUCUUCCUUCUGCCUUGCUGGGGACUGGAGACUUGAGGACCACGGGAGGCCCCUGGAGCAGCGUUUUCGAGUGGUUAGCUUUCCCCAGCUUCAAAUGUGAAGUAUAAGUUAUACCUCCAAAAUUUGGGGGUGGCUACAGCAUCCAAGGCCAGCUCAGGGAGUAACGGAUCUACGUUUGUUUGAGGCCUUUCCAGACAUUUCCUUAUCCACAUUUCUUCUAGAAGGAUCCAGGAAAUCAACUCUAUCACUGUGCCCAGCUGUUUAUGUUAAAAGGAUGUGGUCUGAGGGGGGUUGGGAAUAUCAUCUCCUCUCUCUUGGCUGGGCCAGCGGAGAGAAGGCAGAAAAUAAAACCCGGUCUGGGGGGGGGGGGGGAGACACAGAUCCUCACAGAUGGCACCUAGCCCCUCCGCUGGCCCUGCUGACAUUUGAAAAUGCUUCCUGGGGUGACCUAGCGUGGGGCUGACCGUGAUGGGCACUACCACAAGGGUAGGACAAAGGACUGUGUUGGUCCCACCAGUUCUUGCAGGGGUCCUUCCACUGCCUCCCCUCUGCAAGCCUGAGAAGGUGUGAAACAGAUCCGUUCCCCAUUCCUCUGUUUCUUUUAAGUCAAGUUACCACUUGCCCUUAUGCCAUCCAGGAAGUUCAAAAUGAGUCCCUGGGAGCCGACCUCUCUGCAUUUCCCCUCCUUUGCAGGACACGGAGCAGUUCUAAAAACCUCCGAUGGUGGGGCCCUGGGAAACUGCGAUUUAGCAGCGUUGUUGGAUCUUUGAUUGACACUUCGGAAUAGUAAUGCUGGAAGGUCAACAGUCUGGAAGGCUUGCCAUGUUCCGCCAAGGAGCCACAGAUGAGAUACCUUCACAGAUGGUGUCCCUUAUCAGCCAUUCUCUGGGCCCUGGGAAGAGUGGACUCAGGUUCACUGAAACCAUCUGUAGCUCAAGUCAUGUGGCCCCAGCCUUCCUGCCCCACACCAUCACUUUACUGGGUAUUGUUGUGUCCCCAUAUGAAGAUGGCCUCCCACUUCCUGAACAGGUGACCUGGGCUUUACCAUCAUCCAUGACAACUAUUCGAAUCACCUCCACUCAUCCUCCAGGCAUGCAGAGAACACCUGCAAAGGAGUAUGGUUUCUAAUUCCAUUCUGACACCUGGCAUCAUCCCUGUAGACCAGGACAAGUGCCCACCUUUGCUUCUCAAGUGAGACAAAUAAGGCUCAGAGAUGUCACAGUCAUUUCCAAAGUCACACACAUAUAAAGUGCAUGCAGGGGACUCCAGGCCCUGUGGUUCUUUCCAUGACAACUUUCCAUAAAGCCUCAAUAAUGUGCCUUGGAAAUGGGUAUAGAAGCGUCUUGGUGAGUAACCAUCACUGCUCCCCCAAGGCUGUUCUGAGAAGUCUUGCCUCCCACAAAAGCCCGCAGACCCAAGCCACCUGACACCAUGGUCGUCCACACUGUGUGCACCCACGCCUGCUGAUCUGCUUCCGUUCAUGCCCCGACUUGCCCAUCUUCUGGCUGUUCAAGACCACACACUUCAGAGCACCCGUGACACCAGGGGAAGUGACAUGUGGCUACACUAGCAAUAUAACAGCAAGGAAACCCAGAGCUUGAAUUCUAACAAGGAACCUCCCUCCCCAAGAAGACUAAACAUAAUGUAUGGUGAAAUACAUUGUAGAAGCCAAAUGUGUACUCUCAGCACUUAAGAGACUGACAUGGGGGCUGGAGAGAUGGCUCAGUGGUUAAGAGCACUGAUUGCUCUUCCAGAGGUCCUGAGUUCAAUUCCCAGCAAUUCUAAGCCACAUGGUGGCUCAUGACCACCUGUAAUGGGAUCCAAUGUCCCCUUCUGGUGUGUUUGAAGACAGCUACAGUGUGUUCACAUGCAUUAAAUAAAUGAAAUCUUUUAUUUUCCAGAUAGGGGUUUAAUCUAGAGAGAGAGAGAAAAAGAGAGAGCCUGAGGCAGGAGGAUUGUGAGUUUUAAAUAAGCACAGCUACAAAGCAGGACUCUGUCUUUAAAACCACACAUACCAAAGCCAGGAUGGGGAUGGUGACAAAGGGCAGCGAUAAUUAGGAACUGAAGUUGAAUUGGAAACACCAAAGUGUAAAAUUGGAAAUGAUGACUUGGGUUCUCUAGUUUAGUAACUGAAUUGUUAGUUUUCCCAAGGGGUUGUCACUUAGUCAUCAGUGUGACCUAGACCUUACAUCUUCCAUGACAAUUGUUCGGUCCAGCUUUUAGUCACCUUACAGGAACUUAUUUUAAUAAUGUCCCAGAACUGGGUGUGGCAGUGAGCACCUGUGAUCCUGACAUUUGGGAGGUGGACGCAGGAAGUUCGGGAGUUCAAGGCCAGCCUCAGCAGAGUGAGUUUGAGGCUGGCUGGGGCUGUAAAACAAAACAGCACAUUAACGUCCCAGGCUGGGCUGUGAUAGCACAUGCCUUUGAUCCCAGCAUCCGAGAGGCAGAGGCAGCUAG